CUUUCUGCUUCUUGAAAACUCAUUUGUUAAAAAAUAUCUCCAGAAAAUGAGAGAGAAUGGACUAAUGAAGCAAAUGUAACAAAACCUUAACUGUUGAAUCUUGGUAUAGACCUUGGAAUGACCCACUUACCUGGAAUCACUGCUUCAAAUGUCGAGCCUGGAGACUGGGAACAGAGACAAGUAGUAGCCUCCAGCCAUGCUUUUAGAAGACAGUUUCAAGUCAGGUGCCUGUAGGAGGUGAGGUGGAGGGUGUGAACAUCCCGGGGCUGGUGGUGUUUGCCAUCAUCUUUGGUGUGGCCCUGCAGAAGCUGGGCCCUGAGAGAGCGCUGCUCAUCUGCUUCUUCAGCUCCUUCAGUGAUGCACCCUGGUGCUGGUCUCCUGGAUCAUGUGGAUGCAUCCUGGAUCAGAAGGUCAGAAAUCAGAAGGCGAGUGACUUCCUGGAGGUCCAGUGAUUGAGACUCCGAGCUGCCAAUGCAGGGGGUGUGGGUUCGAUCCCUGGUUGGGAAACAAAGAUUCCCACAUGCAAUGUGGCACAGCCAAAAAGAAAAAUAAAUCAGGAGGGUCAAUACAACAAAGACCAGGAGCACGUUAUGGCUAGAGGUGCAAAGAAGAGUGCUGACUUCAGAAUGACAGUGAAAAUAGUAGCCCAGAAAGCAUUGCCAAGGAACAGAAUCCUGCAGUGUUUACCAAAGAAGAACAUGAGCUACAUGGGUUGGUCAAAGGAAUGGACUUGAGAGUCCUGGUCCUGACAGUAGGUAGAAGCUCAGGCCAAUUCUCAUCACCUCCCAGAAACACGCUGGGGAGAGAUGUAGAGGAUGGUUUGAUUAGUCCAGAAGUUGUUUGGACAGUAAUAAGAAACAUGUACAGGAGACAAUUAAGGCUGUGUUUCACACAACUAAUAAGAAGCCAAAUUGGGACAAAAAUAUCAUCUCUGAUAUUGAGUCAUGGAACAGUGUUUUUAUCUAACAACUCCCUUUGCUAUGGUGAUGUUCCUACCUUCAAAAUAAAGCUGUGGGGCAAUUGGCCAUAAAAUAAACAGUGGAUUCAGAGUGUUGUGGAGAUGCUCAAAAUCUUUAGACUCUCUAGUUUCUUCAGGGUUCCCUAAAGGCUUGAAGCGCAGGCAUCCUUACUAAGCUGAACAGGUAACCUGAAAGGGGUUUUAAUAAUGAUUAGUGUAUUAUGAGAGAAUUGUCUGAUUCAGGUUAUAAUAUCUGUGUGUUUGUGAGCAUCUGCAAUAUAAUCACUGUCUCACAGAAACACUUGAGAGGUUGUUUCAAGGGCCAAUGAUUGAUGCCUGUGGUCUACUGAGCUGUAAUAGUUUUCAUGAUGAUUGGGAAAAUCAGAGCACAUCUAUAAAUGCAAAAGUAGUCCCAGCAUCUUCAAAUAUUUGAAUAUUUGUAAAGUCAGUUAAUUCAAUAAGAGGCCCUAGACCUCUUUUUCUUGAAUAUUUUCUUCAAAUUGAUAAUUAGAUUAUAUUGAAUACAAUUUUUGUUGCAUUCCAAUAAGAUUAGUGCCCUUUCUUGGCCUGUGUACUUGUUCUAGUGUAUUUAUCUUCAUUUGGAAAAAUUUUUAUUAUUGCUAUUUCUUUUUACUCAUUAUUCAUUUUUCUACAAGGUAUUUUUAUUUAUACAUAACCAUUCCACAUGUAAAUUUCUGGUACUAAAAUUUUAUUUUCUGAAAUAUUAAAGCUGC
Bos taurus (domestic cattle) is the source of this 1692-nucleotide long non-coding RNA. Lineage: Eukaryota; Metazoa; Chordata; Mammalia; Artiodactyla; Bovidae. The record is from Ensembl.